RNAcentral lists this ribosomal RNA (537 nucleotides) under uncultured bacterium. RNAcentral describes it as "bacterial SSU rRNA". It matches the Rfam family "Bacterial small subunit ribosomal RNA", at positions 355 to 896 of the family's 1533-position model. The record is from RNAcentral.
UAAGGAAUAUUGGGCAAUGGACGCAAGUCUGACCCAGCCAUCCCGCGUGCAGGACGAAUGCCCUAUGGGUUGUAAACUGCUUUUGUUUGGGAAGAAAUGUAUUCUUUUAAGAGUAUUUGACGGUACCAGACGAAUAAGCACCGGCUAACUCCGUGCCAGCAGCCGCGGUAAUACGGAGGGUGCAAGCGUUAUCCGGAAUCACUGGGUUUAAAGGGAGCGUAGGCGGCUGAUUAAGUCAGCGGUGAAAGGUAGCAGCUUAACUGUUUUACAUGCCGUUGAUACUGGUUAGCUUGAGUUGACAGAAGGCAGAUAGAAUUCCUGGUGUAGCGGUGAAAUGCUUAGAUACCAGGAGGAAUACCGAUUGCGAAGGCAGUCUGCUGCAGUCACACUGACGCUGAGGCUCAAAGGUGCGGGGAUCAAACAGGAUUAGAUACCCUGGUAGUCCGCACAGUAAACGAUGAUUACUAGAUGUUGGCCAAGCCAGUGUCCAAGGGAAACCGAUAAGUAAUCCACCUGGGGAGUACGCCGGCAACGGUG